AACGAACGCUGGCGGCAUGCCUAACACAUGCCAGUCGAACGAGACCUUCGGGUCUAGUGGCGCACGGGUGCGUAACGCGUGGGAAUCUGCCCUUGGGUUCGGAAUAACAGUGGGAAACGACUGCUAAUACCGGAUGAUGACGUAAAUCCAAAGAUUGAUCGCCCAAGGAUGAGCCCGGGUAGGAUUAGCAUGUGGGUGAGGUAAAUGCGCACCAAGGCUACGAUCCUUAACUGGUUUGAGAGGAGGAUCAGCCACACUGGGACUGAGGAACGGCCCAGACUCCUACGGGAGGGAGCAGUGGGGGAUAUUGGCAAAUGGGCGAAAGGAUGAUGCAGCAAUGAUGCGUGAGUGAUGAAGGCCUUAGGGUUGUAAAGCUAUUUUACCCGGGAUGAUAAUGACAGUACCGGGAGAAUAAGCACCGGCUAACUCCGUG
This 433-nucleotide ribosomal RNA is filed under the name uncultured bacterium. Its description in RNAcentral is "partial 16S ribosomal RNA". It matches the Rfam family "Bacterial small subunit ribosomal RNA", at positions 29 to 507 of the family's 1533-position model. The record is from RNAcentral.